This 292-nucleotide long non-coding RNA is filed under the name Ananas comosus (pineapple). RNAcentral's name for it is "long non-coding RNA (ACOM_LNC013166)". The record is from RNAcentral. Lineage: Eukaryota; Viridiplantae; Streptophyta; Magnoliopsida; Poales; Bromeliaceae.
UUAAUUUUUAUAUUUAAUUUUUAUAUUUUUAAAAUUUUAAAUUAGAUUAAAAAUUAAAAUAUUAAAAAAAUUAUUUAAAAUAUGUUAAAAAUUAUGUAAAUUUUCCGCGGCGAAGCGCGGGCCUCCACUAGUACAUCUAAUUAGUCUAUAUCAACCUAUCCAACUAUAACUAUCAAAUAAUAACAUAUGAUAAAUCUAUUUUUAUUUUGGAUAAGUACAAAUUAUAAUCAUAAUCAAAUAAAAAAUUUAAAACUAUUUCUAAUUAUAUUUUAAUUAUGUUUGAAUUAUUAUU